This 253-nucleotide ribosomal RNA is filed under the name uncultured bacterium. Its description in RNAcentral is "partial 16S ribosomal RNA". It matches the Rfam family "Bacterial small subunit ribosomal RNA", at positions 524 to 776 of the family's 1533-position model. The record is from RNAcentral.
GACGAACCGUGCGAACGUUGUUCGGAAUCACUGGGCUUAAAGGGCGCGUAGGCGGUUUGCCAAGUCAGGGGUGAAAUCCUGCAGCUCAACUGUAGAAGUGCCUUUGAUACUGGCGAACUCGAGGGAGGUAGGGGUCGCUGGAACUUCUGGUGGAGCGGUGAAAUGCGUUGAUAUCAGAUGGAACGCCGGUGGCGAAAGCGAGCGACUGGAUCUCUACUGACGCUGAGGCGCGAAAGCCAGGGGAGCAAACGGG